This 236-nucleotide ribosomal RNA is filed under the name uncultured bacterium. RNAcentral's name for it is "partial 16S ribosomal RNA". It matches the Rfam family "Bacterial small subunit ribosomal RNA", at positions 100 to 334 of the family's 1533-position model. The record is from RNAcentral.
CGGGACGGGUGAGUAACGCGUGGAUAACCUGCCUCACACUGGGGGAUAACAGUUAGAAAUGACUGCUAAUACCGCAUAAGCGCACAGUACCGCAUGGUACAGUGUGAAAAACUCCGGUGGUGUGAGAUGGAUCCGCGUCUGAUUAGCCAGUUGGCGGGGUAACGGCCCACCAAAGCGACGAUGGAUAGGGGUUCUGAGAGGAAGGUCCCCCACAUUGGAACUGAGACACGGUCCAA